RNAcentral lists this ribosomal RNA (429 nucleotides) under Pseudomonadota bacterium. Its description in RNAcentral is "Proteobacteria bacterium partial 16S ribosomal RNA". It matches the Rfam family "Bacterial small subunit ribosomal RNA", at positions 355 to 776 of the family's 1533-position model. Lineage: Bacteria; Pseudomonadati; Pseudomonadota. The record is from RNAcentral.
UGGGGAAUAUUGGACAAUGGGCGAAAGCCUGAUCCAGCCAUGCCGCGUGUGUGAAGAAGGACUUCGGAUUGUAAAGCACUAUAAGUUGGGAGGAAGGGCAGUAAGCGAAUACCUUGCUGUUUUGACGUUACCGACAGAAUAAGCACCGGCUAACUCUGUGCCAGCAGCCGCGGUAAUACAGAGGGUGCAAGCGUUAAUCGGAAUUACUGGGCGUAAAGCGCGCGUAGGUGGUUCGUUAAGUUGAAUGUGAAAGCCCCGGGCUCAACCUUGGAACUGCAUCCAAAACUGGCGAGCUAGAGUAGGGCAGAGGGUGGUGGAAUUUCCUGUGUAGCGGUGAAAUGCGUAGAUAUAGGAAGGAACACCAGUGGCGAAGGCGACCACCUGGGCUCAUACUGACACUGAGGUGCGAAAGCGUGGGGAGCAAACAGG